GCACUGCGGGGGGCACAGUGGCGGAUCUUGCCCUGGUGCGGCGCCCUCCGGAAGGCGGCACCCCGGGCAAAAGUACCGCUUGCCCGUGGCAAGAACCGCCACUGUCCGUACCAACUGGGUUCCAGGACAAUUUCCAGAGACCUGCACCACCAUACAAAACUAUCCUGUCUUGGUUGGAACUGUUCUAAGUAACAGGGUUCGUGGCUAAUCACAAUAAAGGGCAGACACCGCAGCACCACGAGCAAUGUACUGUAUGAGGAUGGAAAAAGUUUCAGUUACCUUUUAUUGGAACACCUUGUAUAAAGUGAAACAACUCUGUAUAAAGGAAAUAGCAGGGGGAACGUUAAAAAAAGAACAUAAAGGUUUACAGGAAGUCAACAUUGGAGCGUCAUUCCAGGAAUAUCACAUCUAUGGUCGUAUGAGACUCAUAUGUUUAUAUACACAGGGGAAGUUUUUAGGGAAGGUACACCCAAUUAGAGCCAUAGAGACAAAUUCAAAUCCAGUUUCAACCUAGAAAGGAUGAAAACCGAAAAGCGGGAGGAGAGAAACGUGGACGCUUGAGUGAAGUGUAACGUGCGAUCCCAGUCUAUCAACGUGUCCAAUAUAGAGCCAUCAAGGGGUCUCCUAGCUUUGGAAGUCUACCGCAGAUCAAAUAAAGGGAGCAGUUCAGACCCGUGGCCAUUAUUGCCUGUCUAUGCACACACCACGCCGGAGUUCCCUCCAAAACCAGCUAUGGACGUCGCCAUGACAGUUCCUGGUCAGCUGACCUUCCAGGUCCAAUCCGUAUUCACUUCUGCAUCAUAUGAGCCGCUCAUCCACUCAGCUGUAAGCACAGGGUAUAAGUUCCAGGUCUCAAGCACUAGCAAGCUGUCAGUGCUUUGGUGUCUCUCAGCCUGGAGUGAGCUCCAGAAUCUCCUGCUGGUAAUAGACUUUGUGCAAGUUACCAUUCCCCGCACUGCCUGACUCCCUGGAUGAUUUAAAGGCAUACUUGCCUACCUGAC
Long non-coding RNA from Pseudophryne corroboree (corroboree frog), 1001 nucleotides. RefSeq lists it as uncharacterized. The transcript is spliced from 3 exons. NCBI's taxonomy places the organism in Eukaryota, Metazoa, Chordata, Amphibia, Anura, Myobatrachidae. The record is from RefSeq and is a predicted model, not a curated record.